AUUGAACGCUGGCGGCAGGCCUAACACAUGCAAGUCGAGCGAGCGGCGGACGGGUGAGUAAUGUAUGGGGACUGCCCGAUAGAGGGGGAUAACUACUGGAAACGGUGGCUAAUACCGCAUACUAUCGGAUAACCCAGGUGGGAUUAGCUAGUAGGUGGGGUAAAGGCUCACCAAGGCGACGAUCUGUAGCUGGUCUGAGAGGAUGAUCAGCCACACGGGGACUGCGACACGGCCCAGACUCCUACGGAGGCAGCAGUGGGGAAUAUUGCACAAUGGGCGCAAGCCUGAUGCAGCCAUGCCGCGUGUAUGAAGAAGGUCUUAGGGUUGUAAAGUACUUUAAGUUGGGAGGCGUUACCCGCAGAAGAAGCACCGGCUAACGCCGUGCCAGCAGCCGCGGUAAUUC
Molecule: ribosomal RNA, 403 nt
Filed under: uncultured bacterium
Lineage: Bacteria
Description: partial 16S ribosomal RNA
Rfam family: Bacterial small subunit ribosomal RNA
Source: RNAcentral